RNAcentral lists this transfer RNA (73 nucleotides) under Ovis aries (sheep). It matches the Rfam family "tRNA". From Rfam's summary of the family: Transfer RNA (tRNA) molecules are approximately 80 nucleotides in length. Their secondary structure includes four short double-helical elements and three loops (D, anti-codon, and T loops). Further hydrogen bonds mediate the characteristic L-shaped molecular structure. tRNAs have two regions of fundamental functional importance: the anti-codon, which is responsible for specific mRNA codon recognition, and the 3' end, to which the tRNAs corresponding amino acid is attached (by aminoacyl-tRNA synthetases). tRNAs cope with the degeneracy of the genetic code in two manners: having more than one tRNA (with a specific anti-codon) for a particular amino acid; and 'wobble' base-pairing, i.e. permitting non-standard base-pairing at the 3rd anti-codon position. The record is from Rfam by way of RNAcentral. Lineage: Eukaryota; Metazoa; Chordata; Mammalia; Artiodactyla; Bovidae.
UCCCUAAUUGUCCAGUGGUUAGGACUCUGCCCUUCCACUGCAGGGGACCCAGGUUCGAUCCCUAGUCAGGAAA